UGUUAAAACAUAGAUGCAGCUAGGUACUACCGUACUACAGUAAGGAUGUUCAGAGCAACUUUUAAGUGUGACAUGAGUCGUGAAACACGAGAUAAAGUGGUAACCUAGCAAGGUAGCAAGUGAUAUCCAUCAUAGCCUUGUCACAGGGGUUCCAGAAUCAACUAAUCAUCACUGAAAAGGAGUAAGGUUGCUUACCUUCAUAACCAAGUGUAAGCCUAAGUCUUACCC
Long non-coding RNA from Rhododendron vialii, 228 nucleotides. RefSeq lists it as uncharacterized. The transcript is spliced from 2 exons. Lineage: Eukaryota; Viridiplantae; Streptophyta; Magnoliopsida; Ericales; Ericaceae. The record is from RefSeq and is a predicted model, not a curated record.